AGCUUUGCGCAGUGGCAGUAUCAUAGCCCAUGAGGUUUAUCCGAGGCAUGAUUAUUGCUAGUUGAAAACUUUUCCCAAUAACCCCCGAAAUGAUGACUUGAAAUACAGUCAGCAUUGGCAAUUUUAGAUAGUCUCUGAGGAGA
Bufo gargarizans (Asiatic toad) is the source of this 143-nucleotide small nuclear RNA. RefSeq annotates it as U4 spliceosomal RNA. The record is from RefSeq and is a predicted model, not a curated record. The transcript has a single exon. Lineage: Eukaryota; Metazoa; Chordata; Amphibia; Anura; Bufonidae.